Drosophila simulans is the source of this 90-nucleotide non-coding RNA. NCBI's taxonomy places the organism in Eukaryota, Metazoa, Arthropoda, Insecta, Diptera, Drosophilidae. The record is from Rfam.
UCCCAAGGUAUGGUUUAGAUAACUCGAAUAUCACAUUUUCAGUGUUCGAUAUCUGAUGAGAUAUUCACGUUGUCUAAACCAUGGUUUGUU